AUGGAUGAAAGGCCGGAGCUAAC
RNAcentral lists this non-coding RNA (23 nucleotides) under Cricetulus griseus (Chinese hamster). The record is from RNAcentral. Lineage: Eukaryota; Metazoa; Chordata; Mammalia; Rodentia; Cricetidae.